RNAcentral lists this unclassified non-coding RNA (279 nucleotides) under plant metagenome. Its description in RNAcentral is "partial contains small subunit ribosomal RNA, internal transcribed spacer 1, and 5.8S ribosomal RNA". The record is from RNAcentral.
UCUCCGUAGGUGAACCUGCGGAGGGAUCAUUAAUGUGUUUUAUUUUAUAGAGAAACUGUUAAGUUUAUUUUGUAUUAUUUUUGUAGGGUUUAUUUUGUAAUCUUUUAGAAUGUCAUUAGAUGAAAAUUAGAUAGAUGGCUUGUUUAUUUAUAAAAUUUAUUAGAUGAUUUGUUUGUUUGUUUUAAUAUUUUUUUAAUCAUUUAACCAAACAUAGUAUCAACUCUAUGCUCUGGAUAUCUUGGUUCUCGCAGCGAUGAAGAACGUAGCAGAUCGGAUGAG